RNAcentral lists this long non-coding RNA (7731 nucleotides) under Hordeum vulgare. Its description in RNAcentral is "long non-coding RNA (HVUL_LNC003278)". Lineage: Eukaryota; Viridiplantae; Streptophyta; Magnoliopsida; Poales; Poaceae. The record is from RNAcentral.
CUAGAUGGAAUGAAUCACCAUAGAUAGUCGAACCACACUUAAUUUAACACAGUACACGAAACAAAGCAAACGGGACGGGUCGAAGGGGCGCGCUUGCUUGCUUGCUUCCCUACACGAAUGCGGCGGCGGCCGCCGCGGCCCCAGCGGUGCGGAGGAUCUGGUAGUAGACCUGCGGGUUGGCCACAAACGCCGUGCGGGAAAUCAGGAAGCCGGCGGCACCAGGCGCCUUCAUCAUGGCGCCGGCGGCGGCUGGGGCGGCUGCAGCAGGCCAGAGAAAGUAGGCGCCCACGGCGCCCCCGAUGACCAUCGCCGCGGUCCCCACGGCACCGUCGCGCGUGGAGAGCUUUGCAGGCAGGUACGGUUUGGCCAACGAGAUGGUGGAGGCCAUGGCCGCUCCUGUAUGGUUCUUGACGUAGCCGAGACCGGUGACGAUGUCGCCUGUGCUCAUCUCGGUUAGCUUUGCGGGAAGGUACGGCUUGGCCAACGAGACUGUGGAGGCCAUGGCCGCUCCUGUAUGGUUCUUGACGUAGCCGAGACCCGCGACGAUGCCACCCGUGUUCAUCUCGGUUAGCUUUGAGGGGAGGUACGGCUUGGCCAGCGAGACGGUGGAGGCCACGGCGCUCGCCUGUUGCUUGACGAGGUCGAGACCGGAGAAGAGGAGGUCGCGGGUGCUCAUCUCGCCUGGUUUUCCUUUCCGAUUUGUGGUCGUUUGUGUGGACUUAUACCUCACUAAAUGGAUGAGACGACGCAAAGCGUGGAUUUAUAGCGACGAAGGUGAUCUAUACCUAGACAACGACGCGCGACGACCUUGACUACCAACAGUACUAUCGACAGCACUAACAUGUCACCAUAUGAAGAAGAAUCAAAAGAUUACAAAAGAGGCUAUAUAAAAAUCAUUCACCGCUGGUCCCUUUGUACCUACUCGGCUAAAGCACAGGAUGCCCAGGCGUGGUGCGGAAGGCAGUCACCUCGACCAACUCUACUUUCCAUGCCAUGAUAGACUGAUACACCCAUCUAAACAACCAAGUGUACGGAUUAUCUAUAAUUUAUUAAACCAACUCUACCGCACGACCCCAUUUCGUUCGUUCUUAGUUCGUUUAGAUUAAACGGACGAAUAGCUGAACCCGACGUGCAGUCCCAAAUGAACAAAUAUCUGAUUUUCGUCCAUUUUCAUUCUAUUCCGGGCCCAAACAUGCGUCGCGUUUGGAGUAAAACGGACAACGUGCGGACGGGCGGGACACGCGUCCUUGUCCUCCCCAUGGCCCGCCUGUCGGGACACUGGCACUUCAUUCAUUUCCAACGCCUCCAUCCGCCCUCCCCGCCCCACCUCGCCGUCGGAGCCGCCACUAUUUUUUCAGCCGCCUCCUCACUGCUCACCCCCCGGCCGUCCAUACCAAACCAAGUCUCGCCAUGGCCGCCACCACGCCCACGCUUUCGUAGGAAUUUUGGUCGUCUUUUGGAGAAGUUUUGGCCGUCGCCUUCGUAUCUGGUGCCAGAGGGGAUACGACCGCCGGGUGCUCUAUAGCGACCUGUAGCCGGCCGCCAAACGACCCUCCUGCAUCGAGGUGAUUUCCGCAGCCUAUUUGUCACCACGACCGCAAGGUUUCUAACACUUUGCCAACAAAGGUAUGGACAAUGGAGAUGAAUUUUUCUUCAACCACUUCUUUUGUUCAUCGGAUGAUGCGUCCUCGGAUGACGAAGAUCUUGUGGUGGUUGCACCGGUCGUUCACGACCACAUUGAAAGACAGCGGCCUCGCUACAGGCGGUCAGUCCUGGGCCGUGCUCCCAACCUGAACCACAUCAGAGAGAGAGAGGCGACGCCAUGCUCUAUGUCGAUUACUUUGAGAAUACCACACUCUUUGAACCGAAGAAAUUCCAUCGUUGUUUUCGUAUGGCAAGACAUAUGUACAGUCGUAUCCGAGAGAGAGUGAUUCGUCAUGACCCAUUCUUCGAGUGCAAAACGGAUGCCCUUGGCAAGCUUGGAUUCUUCUCUUAUUAGAAAUGCACCGCGGCCAUCCGCAUGCUUGCAUAAGGUAUUCCACGCGAUUUUGUGGAUGAGUACGUGCGCAUGAGUGAGUUCACAUGUCUGAUGUCAAUGUACAACUUCUGCAAUGCCGUGGUGGCAGUGUUUGGCCCUCAAUACUUGAGGCAGCCAAAUGCUGCUGAUACAAAAAGGCUGUUGGUAAUCAACGCCGAUAGAAGCUUUCCAGGCAUGCAUGGCAGCAAAGAUUGUAUGCACUAGGAGUGGAAGAACAGUCUAUUUGCUUGACAGGGCCAGUACAAGGGGCAUGUGAAAGCGUGCACUCUCAUAUUAGAAGUUGUGGCUUGACAAGAUCUUUGGAUAUGACAUUCUUUCUUCAGCAUGGCAGGUUCUCACAAUGAUAUCAACGUGCUGCAGCGUUCUCCAGUCUUCGCAAGGUUUGCACAAGGCCAUUCUCUACCUAGCAACUUUGAGGUCAAUAGCCACCACUACAACAAGGGAUACUACCUAGAUGCUGGUAUAUAUCCUAAGUGGUCAACUUUUGUGGAGACAAUCUCGAAACCCCAAUGUGAUAAGAGACAGAGAUUUUCCCAAAUGCAAGAGAGUGCUAGAAAGGAUGUGGAGCGUGCUUUUGGUGUGCUUCAAUCCCGAUGGGGUAUCGUUCGAAACCCUUCACUGAACAUGGAUGAAGGGAAGCAUUGGAGGUGAUGACUACUUGUGUGAUCAUGCACAACAUGAUCAUCAAGGACGAGCGUGAUAACAACAUCUUCGACCAAGGAUUUGAUUUUUGAGGUGAAAAUGUUGAGCCCCUGCAGCAAGAACCGGCCACAUUUGAACAGUUUACCCAAUUCCAUCGUGAAAUGCGUGAUUGCACACUCAUUUGGAGCUUUAAAAUGACUUCGUUCAGCACAUGUGGAAUCACAUUGGCAACCAAUAGAUGUAUUGGUUUAUUAUGUUUAUUCAAGACAAUUUCAAUUUGGUUGUAAAACCAUUUUAUUCGAGACAAUUUUGAUUGGGUUGUAAAACUAUUUUUAUUUGAAACAAUUAAAAUUUGGACGUGCAAACAUUGAUGAAUAUGAAUAUAUGGGCAUAUUGGUCGUGGCGGACAGGAUGCGACCAAAGGAUGCGUCCGCAUGUUGGGUGCACGGCCACCGCAUCCGAGGAAAGGCUGAGAGACGACCCCAUUGCCCUACCCAAAUGUCCGGGAAAAACGGAUGUCCGUUUGGGGUCGUGCGCUGAAGUUGGCCUUAGGAACAAGAGGUAGGCAGGAAUGAUCAAGCGUACAACACACAUAAGGGCAUCUCCAGCCGCGCCCCAAGAGGCCACUCAUGCCCCUUUUUAGACGCCGUCGUUACAAAAUCCCCCCCAGUCGGGCCCCCAGGACGUCGUUUUCCGCCAGAUGGUCCAUUUUUCGGGCCGGUGAACCCAGGCCGAACCCAGCACGCUGGGGGCACCUAGGUGCUUUGACAGAAGGAAAAGUUGUGUGUAGGACACUACUGUGAGGCGAGAAAUGCCUUUUCGCCGCUAGAUUCGCCCUCGUGCGCCACGGAACACCUCACCGCCAUGUCGAUCCCGACGCCGCCAACGUGCCCUCAGGUGCUGCCGCGCCGAUUGAAAAUGCCAUUUCCCUGCCAUUUUCGCGGUAGCCUCCAUCCUGCUCUCCCUGGGCGAGCUUUUCAAACCGCUCAGGCAGGGAUACCGGCGACUGCCCACCAACUACGCCAUUCAGGUGUUUGGUGAUUAGCCUGCUCGGUAAUGGACUCAAACGACGAUGACACGUUCAUGGCUCUGAUGGAGGAGAAAGCCGAGGACGACACCACCGACGAAGAGCACAUCAUGAUCCUCGCCGCGCUGGCCGGCCUAUUGCGAAUAAUGCCAAGCCGUGGAGUGGUGUCUCGGUGCCGGGGCGCCGCAAGAGCAAACAAAGACAUCACAUGGAGGUCUAUUACAUGCUCUACAUCGACUACUUCGCCGACAGUCCUAUGCAUGGCGAGAAAUUAUUUCCGCGCCAUUAUCGGAUGGACCCGAAGCUCUUCCUCAGGAUUGUGAAUGUCAUCUAUGAGUUCGACAUCUAUUUCAUUUGCAAGAAGGAUUGCACCAGUACGGUUGGAUUAUCCUCGUUCUUGAAGUACACCACGACUAUGAGGAUCCUUGUGUAUGGAUCUCCCGAUGAUAUACAGUAAUACUAAGGAGCAUGGUCGAGUCGACCACCUUUGAGUGUUUGUAGAAGUUUUGUAGGAUAGUGGUGGCAGUGUUUGGACCAUAAAAUUUGCAAUCACCCAAUGCUGAAGACACUGCUCGGAUCCUAGCGUAGAAUGCAGUAAGAGGAUUUCAUGGGAUGCUUGGAAGCAUCGACUGCAUGCAUUGGGCAUGAAAAAACUAUCCAUUAGCUUGGCAGGGGAUGUACGAAGGCACCAAAAGAGGUUGCAGAGUGGUACUUGAGGUAGUGGCCACAUAGGACCUAUGGAUUUGGCACUCCUUUGGUAUGCUAGGAACUCACAAUGACAUCAACAUACUUCAGUCCUCGAAUGUCUUUGCAAAUCUUGUUGAAGGUCAUGCUCGUUCGGUGAACUUCGAGGUCAAUGGGUGCCACUACAACAAGGGAUACUAUCUAGCAGAUGGUAUCUCCGGGAUUGUCCACAUUUGUGAAGAGUAUCUCAAACCUUGUGCGAGGAGGCAAGAAGUCACACUUUGUUAAGUGUCAGGAGGCUUGCAGGAAGGAUGUCCAGCGAGCAUUUGGUGUGCUCCAAUCUCGAUUUACUAUUGUCCAGUACCCCACUCUUACCUGUGAUACGUCUCCGUCGUAUAUAUAUUUUUUGAUUGUUCCAUGCCAAUAUUAUACAACUUUCACAUAUUUUUUGCAACAUUUUAUAUGAUGUAUUGGACUAACAUAUUGAUCCAGUGCCAAGUGUCAGUUCUUGUUUGUUGCAUAUUUUUUGUUUCGGAGAAUAUCCAUAUCAAACAAAGUGCAACGCGAUAAAAUUUUAAAGAGAAUUAUUUUGAACAUGGAAUCAACGUAAAUGGCGGCCCACGACCUCCACUAGACACCAGGGCGUGCUUGGUCCACCUGGCACAGGGUGGUGUCUACUGGGCACCCCUUAAGUUGGUUGGGGCUCUUCUUAGGGUACAAGAAAUAUAAUUUAUUGAUAAAAGUCCCUCCAAAAUUUCGGCACAACCGGAGUUACGGAUCUUCGAGAAUUUAUGAAACGGUGAAGGACCAUAAAACAGGAACAUGCAACAGAAGAGAACAUAGAGGGAGAUGCAAUCUCGGAGGGGCUCCUUCGCCUCCGCCGCCAUGGAGGCCGUGGACCAGAGGGGGAACUCUCCUCCCAUCUAAGUGGAGGCCAAGGAAGAAGAACAAGGAGGGAGGCUGUCCCCCCUCUCUCCCGGUGGCACCGGAGUGCCGUCGGGGCAAGGAGCGUGACGGAGAUUGACACGUCUCAAACGUACAGACUUUUACAAACACUUUUGCUAUUGUUUUGGCCUCAUUCAUGCAUGAUUUUAAUGAAACUAACCUGAACUGACGCUGUUUUCAGUAGAGCUGCCUAUAUGGUUUUCUUGUGUGCAGGAAAAUGGAUGUUUAGGCGCCCCGGAAAAUUCCAAUAAAAAAUAGAUAAAUCCACGAACCGGGAGGAACCCUGGGUCAGAAGAUGGGCGAGAGGGGGGCCACCAUGCCUCCAGGCGACCUUUGGGCGCGGCCUGCCCCCUGGCCGCGUUGGGAGGCCGCCUGGUGGGGUCCACCUCCUCUGAUGCCCUACUUUGUCUUCUAUUUUUUUCCUGAUGGAGAAAUCCCAGAAGAGAAGUCGUUUUGCAAGUUCUCGACGCGGAGCCGCCGCCACCCUCAGUUCUUUUUCGGGAGAGCUAAUCUAGAGGCUGCCUUGGCCUCCGGAGAGGGGAAAUCGUCGCCAUCAUCAUCACCAUCUUCACUCCAUCACCCUUCCAUGGAUUCCCCCAUCAUGUAUGAGUAAUUCCAUGUUGUAGGUGAAGUGGACGGCAGGAAUUGGAUGAGUUAGAUCAUGUAAUAGUUCGUCGGAUUGUUGGGGGCAUGUUGCCAAUCAUCUACCAUGGUGUUUAUCAUCUUUUCUACUACUUGUUACUCUUAAUGCUUGUCACUUCGGGACCGAGUGCCAUGAUUUCAGAUCUGAAUAUCUUAUGUUUUCAUGAAUAUAUUUGUGUUCUCGAUCCUAUCUAUGAGUAGUAUGCACCUAUUAUAGUCCGGAACAGGCAAUCCCAACGGUGACAUCUUGGGACAAAAAAAGGGAUAGACUAUGAUUUGAGGAUUCCAUGUAUCCAUUGAUUGUUAAUGCUUUGUUCCGGUGCUCUUUGACAGGAGCACCUUAAUCUCCAUAAGUUCCUUUUGGCCCCAUUGGUAGCGGGAUGAUAGGAAAAAACAUGUUGUGCAAGUUCUUAUUGCAAGCACGCACGACUACCUUGGGAUACAUGCCUAAUGAUUGAUAUUUUCCUAGAUGAUCAUUCCUUCUCUAUGUGCCUUGCCCCAUGUUAAAUACAUGAUAUCUCUCAUCCAUGACCAACCAACCAUCUCCGUAGCCUACAUGGUUUUAAUCCCGCUAGUCACUAGUUGCUCUACUUUAGCUGUUUUACUUUUGUUGCUUUGCCACCAUUAUCUCCGUUGCCACAAUCACUUUCAUAUCACCGUUACUACUAAUAUUUCGUUGCCAAGCAAGUAUCUUUCAGGUGCGGUUGAACUGACAACUCAACUAUUAAAGCUUAUAAAUAUUCUUUGGCUCCCCUUGUGUCGAAUCAAUAAAUUGGGUUAACUUACCCGCGAAGACUGUUGCGAUCCACUACACUUGUGGGUUAUUAAGACUAUUUUCUGGCAUCGUUGCGAGGGAGCAUAUAUUUAUUUACAAGUCUACUUGGAGUUAUUUUGCUUGCUGCGAUUUAUCCACUAUGGGUAAGAAAGGAGACCCCAAGGUUCCAAUCUUACCAUCUACUACACGAAAAGGUAAUGUUCUUAGCACCAGAGCCAUGCUUGAUUCACCUUCCGUUAUGAGUAAGUUUGCUUCACCACCACCACAUCCUGCUUCUACCUAGUUCGUCACUAUGCCUGAUACUUUUGAUGAUGCUUCUACUACUAUUGAUGAGACUGGUUUACUUGGUUAUUUUAUUGAGUCUCAGAUUGCUAAGGCUGCAAAGCAGUCUAGGGUUGAAAUUCCUGUUACAUUCUACCCCAUUGGUGUAUCCUUUGGUUACCCAGACUUGAGUGGUCUCAGGGAAAGAAUUCUUGAUGAUGAUUAUAUUGAACUUGAUGAUGAUUUAUGCAUGGAGCUUACAGAGUGUGCUAACUCUAACCCUGCUUCUGUUAAGAAGCUGCUUGAAAAGCAUUCUAUGAAGAAAAAUUUACUCCCAAUCCUAAAUUUGCUUAAUCUCCUAUUUGCAUUGAGGAUGCUGAUUUUAAUUUCUCUGACUAUCUUUCACGUAUAUCCACAGUUGAAGUUGACCCUUUUUAUGGCAGAGAAAAGGACGAUGCUAUUGCACACCUUACCAAAUUCACUGAGUUGGGUGGCUUAUCCACUAAGAGGACAAGAAGAGAAAUUAUCAUGUUACUAAGCUACUUCCUUUCUCAUUGAAGGAAGAUGCUAAAGCAUGGUAUGAUGCACUACCAUGUGGUUACAUUAAGAGUCCUCAAGAUUUAGCUCAAUCUUUUGUUGCUAAAUAUUUUCCUGCUCAUAAGCAACAUGCUUCUUUACAAAGAAUAUAUAACUUUACACAGUUGUAGGAUGAGCACC